RNAcentral lists this ribosomal RNA (479 nucleotides) under uncultured anaerobic ammonium-oxidizing bacterium. Its description in RNAcentral is "bacterial SSU rRNA". It matches the Rfam family "Bacterial small subunit ribosomal RNA", at positions 364 to 833 of the family's 1533-position model. The record is from RNAcentral.
UUUCGCAAUGCCCGAAAGGGUGACGAAGCGACGCCGCGUGGGUGAGGAAGGCCUUCGGGUUGUAAAGCCCUGUCAGGAGUUAAGAAAUGUAAGUGCGCUAAUAUCGCAUUUAUUUGACGAAGGCUCCAAAGGAAGUCACGGCUAACUCUGUGCCAGCAGCCGCGGUAAUACAGAGGUGGCAAGCGUUGUUCGGAAUUAUUGGGCGUAAAGAGCACGUAGGUGGGUUUGUAAGUCAGAUGUGAAAGCCUUCUGUUCAACGGAAGAAUUGCAUCUGAAACUGCAAGUCUUGAGUGUAGGAGGGGAGAGCGGAACUUCUGGUGGAGCGGUGAAAUGCGUAGAUAUCAGAAGGAACGCCGGCGGCGAAAGCGAUUCUCUGGCCUAUUACUGACACUCAGUGUGCGAAAGCUAGGGGAGCAAACGGGAUUAGAUACCCCGGUAGUCCUAGCCGUAAACGAUGGGCACUAAGUAGAGGGGUUUUA